Molecule: unclassified non-coding RNA, 260 nt
Filed under: uncultured fungus
Lineage: Eukaryota; Fungi
Also listed under: 1 other name
Description: partial contains 5.8S ribosomal RNA, internal transcribed spacer 2, and large subunit ribosomal RNA
Rfam family: 5.8S ribosomal RNA (bases 1-52)
Source: RNAcentral
AACGCACAUUGCGCCCUUUGGUAUUCCAAAGGGCAUGCCUGUUCGAGCGUCAUUUGUACCCUCAAGCUUUGCUUGGUGUUGGGCGUUGUUUGUCUUUGGCCUUGCCCAAAGACUCGCCUUAAAACAAUUGGCAGCCGGCCUACUGGUUUCGCAGCGCAGCACAUUUUUGCGCUUGCAAUCAGCAAAAGAGGUUGGCCAUCCAUCAAGACUACAUUUAUACGUUUGACCUCGGAUCAGGUAGGGAUACCCGCUGAACUUAA